Molecule: ribosomal RNA, 275 nt
Filed under: uncultured bacterium
Lineage: Bacteria
Description: partial 16S ribosomal RNA
Rfam family: Bacterial small subunit ribosomal RNA
Source: RNAcentral
UACAAUGGCGUAAACAAAGGGAAGCGAGACGGUGACGUUAAGCAAAUCCCAAAAAUAACGUCCCAGUUCGGAUUGUAGUCUGCAACUCGACUACAUGAAGCUGGAAUCGCUAGUAAUCGCGAAUCAGAAUGUCGCGGUGAAUACGUUCCCGGGUCUUGUACACACCGCCCGUCACACCAUGGGAGUCGGAAAUGCCCGAAGUCAGUGACCUAACCGAAAGGGAGGAGCUGCCGAAGGUGGAGCCGGUAACUGGGGUGAAGUCGUAACAAGGUAAC